CCUGGCUUCAAGUCCUGCCUCUGCCACAAAAUGGCUGUGUGACCCUGGGUAUGUUUUAUGACCUCUCGGUGGCCCCAGGCAACUCUCUUAAGUUGCAGAGAAGGUGCUGACCUGCAUUGGUAAAGAGAAUUUCUUCAACAGGGAUUUCCCUUUAUGAAUGAAAUGACAGCUCUAAUCCCUAUCCCUAAAUACUACAAAACUUGGAGAAAUUAUCAUGUAUAUGGUGUUUUUCCCUGUUUUCACCUAUUGCUGACAUAUGUGAACUUCCUCAGGACCUUCAAAUAUCUACAGUUCCUAGAGCCCCCAGAAUUCUGCCUGCAAAUGAAAGUCUCUAUUCUUCCCUGUAGGCAGUCCUAUUUGGAAGAGCCUCAAGCUGAGGACCCAACUUCACUAUCCAGCCCUUUCCUUCCCCUCCUCACUGGCUCCACCCUCCACCUGCAGCUACAGGCAAUCUUUGGUUUAGGUAUUCACCUUGCCCAAGCAAUCUUCAAAGUAUAAAAACUGAGAGGGGAGUAGUAGUGGAGAACAAAAUAAGACUCAUUUAUUUUUUUCAAUGAAAAGGAAUAAAGAUUUUUUUGGAAAUGUUGGUUCA
Molecule: long non-coding RNA, 592 nt
Filed under: Monodelphis domestica (gray short-tailed opossum)
Lineage: Eukaryota; Metazoa; Chordata; Mammalia; Didelphimorphia; Didelphidae
Description: lncRNA (ENSMODG00000031966.2)
Source: RNAcentral